UUAAAGCAUACGGAAGCAUACACAUGCAGUCGAGCGCCCCGCAGGGGAGCGGCAGACGGGUGAGUAACGCGUGGGAAUCUACCCUUUUCUACGGAAUAACGCAGGGAAACUUGUGCUAAUACCGUAUGAGCCCUUCGGGGGAAAGAUUUAUCGGGAAAGGAUGACCCCGCGUUGGAUUAGCUAGUUGGUGGGGUAAAGGCCUACCAAGGCGACGAUCCAUAUCUGGUCUGAGAGGAUGAUCACCCACAUUGGGACUGAAACACGGCCCAAACUCCUACGGGAGGCAGCAGUGGGGAAUAUUGGACAAUGGGCGCAAGCCAGAUCCAACCAUGCCGCGUUAGUGAUGAAGGCCAUAGGGUUGUAACGCUCUUUCCCGGUAAAAAUAAUCACAACCCC
Molecule: ribosomal RNA, 396 nt
Filed under: Sinorhizobium sp. HPCKc-7(A)
Lineage: Bacteria; Pseudomonadati; Pseudomonadota; Alphaproteobacteria; Hyphomicrobiales; Rhizobiaceae
Description: bacterial SSU rRNA
Rfam family: Bacterial small subunit ribosomal RNA
Source: RNAcentral